GACGAACGCUGGCGGCGUGCUUAACACAUGCAAGUCGAACGGAAAGGCCCUUCGGGGUACUCGAGUGGCGAACGGGCGAGUAACACGUGGGUGAUCUGCCCUGCACUUUGGGAUAAGCCUGGGAAACUGGGUCUAAUACCGAAUAGGACCACGCGCUUCAUGGUGUGUGGUGGUAAGCUUUUGCGGUGUGGGAUGGGCCCGCGGCCUAUCAGCUUGUUGGUGGGGUAAUGGCCUACCAAGGCGACGACGGGUAGCCGGCCUGAGAGGGUGACCGGCCACACUGGGACUGAGAUACGGCCCAGACUCCUACGGGAGGCAGCAGUGGGGAAUAUUGCACAAUGGGCGCAAGCCUGAUGCAGCGACGCCGCGUGAGGGAUGACGGCCUUCGGGUUGUAAACCUCUUUCACCAGGGACGAAGCGUAAGUGACGGUACCUGGAGAAGAAGCACCGGCCAACUACGUG
This 462-nucleotide ribosomal RNA is filed under the name uncultured bacterium. Its description in RNAcentral is "partial 16S ribosomal RNA". It matches the Rfam family "Bacterial small subunit ribosomal RNA", at positions 28 to 507 of the family's 1533-position model. The record is from RNAcentral.